This 460-nucleotide ribosomal RNA is filed under the name uncultured bacterium. RNAcentral describes it as "partial 16S ribosomal RNA". It matches the Rfam family "Bacterial small subunit ribosomal RNA", at positions 338 to 795 of the family's 1533-position model. The record is from RNAcentral.
CCUACGGGUGGCAGCAGUGAGGAAUAUUGGUCAAUGGACGCAAGUCUGAACCAGCCAUGCCGCGUGCAGGAAGACGGCUCUAUGAGUUGUAAACUGCUUUUGUACGAGGGUAAACGCAGAUACGUGUAUCUGUCUGAAAGUAUCGUACGAAUAAGGAUCGGCUAACUCCGUGCCAGCAGCCGCGGUAAUACGGAGGAUUCAAGCGUUAUCCGGAUUUAUUGGGUUUAAAGGGUGCGUAGGCGGUCGGAUUAGUUAGAGGUGAAAUCCCGAGGCUCAACUUCGGAAUUGCCUCUGAUACUGUUCGGCUAGAGAGUAGUUGCGGUAGGCGGAAUGUAUGGUGUAGCGGUGAAAUGCUUAGAGAUCAUACAGAACACCGAUUGCGAAGGCAGCUUACCGGCGCUCAACUGACGCUGAGGCACGAAAGCGUGGGGAUCGAACAGGAUUAGAUACCCUGGUAGUC